Molecule: unclassified non-coding RNA, 200 nt
Filed under: Sclerotiniaceae sp.
Lineage: Eukaryota; Fungi; Ascomycota; Leotiomycetes; Helotiales; Sclerotiniaceae
Description: partial internal transcribed spacer 2
Source: RNAcentral
UUAAGUUCAGCGGGUAUCCCUACCUGAUCCGAGGUCAACCAUGGAAGAUGGGGGUUGCUGGCGGGAAGCUCGCCGAGGCCCAGUAGCGAGAGAAUUACUACGCUCUGGACCCAGCGGCGCCGCCACUAGUUUUAGGACCUGCCAUCGCUGGCAAGAGGCCCAACACCAAGCAGUGCUUGAGGGUUGAAAUGACGCUCGAA